This 341-nucleotide ribosomal RNA is filed under the name uncultured bacterium. Its description in RNAcentral is "bacterial SSU rRNA". It matches the Rfam family "Bacterial small subunit ribosomal RNA", at positions 917 to 1290 of the family's 1533-position model. The record is from RNAcentral.
GGACCCGCACAAGCGGUGGAGUAUGUGGUUUAAUUCGAUGCAACACGAAGAACCUUACCAGGGUUUGAAAUCAUUUCAAAACUCCUUGAAAGAGGAGCCUCCUUCGGGAUGAAAUGACAGGUGGUGCAUGGCUGUCGUCAGCUCGUGUUGUGAAAUGUCGAGUUAAGUCUCGUAACGAGCGCAACCCAUGUCUCUUGUUGCUCACUGAGUGCUUAAGAGAGACUGCCGACCAACAUCGGAGGAAGGUGUGGAUGAUGUCAAGUCAGCAUGCCCCUUACAUCCUGGGCUACACACGUACUACAAUGGUAGGGACAAUGGGUUAAUCCCAAAAAGCUAUCUCA